This 266-nucleotide unclassified non-coding RNA is filed under the name Hevea brasiliensis (rubber tree). The record is from RNAcentral. Lineage: Eukaryota; Viridiplantae; Streptophyta; Magnoliopsida; Malpighiales; Euphorbiaceae.
GACUCGGUUUUCUUGCCAAACACUUCCAUUAAGAAUCUGUCCGGCUUUAUGGAGGAAGAGAACAUCAAUACCAGCUGCUUUUCCCAAUUUGAGCCUCCUGAACUUCCCCUUCAAAUUCCUCUUGAUGUUAGAUUUAAGGACACUAGUCGUCUUGAUCAAAGCUCUAUGCUUGCUCCUUGUGAUAAUGAGCCUUCUGUGACCAAGAAACAGAGCACAGACAACUCCACUGUGGUAGAUAAGCUUGAAAGCGGUGAGCAAGUUACCCA